UGGCGGCGUGCCUAAUACAUGCAAGUCGAACGAAGAGCUCGGAGUAGCAAUACCCUGAGUACUCUUAGUGGCGAACGGGUGAGUAACGCGUUGGUGACCUGCCCCAAAGAUAGGGAUAACAGUUCGAAAGGACUGCUAAUACCUUGUGUUGUCAUUUUGAUUAGAUGCUAAAUGACUAAAGGAGCUUGCUCCGCUUUGGGAGGGGCCUGCGUCCCAUCAGCUAGUUGGUAGGGUAAUGGCCUACCAAGGCGAUGACGGGUAGGGGACCUGAGAGGGUGGCCCCCCCCAAUGGAACUGAAACACGGUCCAUACACCUACGGGUGGCAGCAGUAGGGAAUAUUGGUAAUGUGCGAAAGCGCGAACCAGCAACGCCGCGUGUGCGAAGACGGCCUUCGGGUUGUAAAGCACUUUUCGGGAGGAAGAGGAAGGACUGUACUCCCGGAAUAAGUCUCGGCUAACUACGUGCCAGCAGCCGCGGUAAUACGUAGGAGGCAAACGUUAUCCGGAUUUACUGGGCGUAAAGCGCGUGCAGGCUGUUCAAUAAGUUGGGCGUGAAAGCUCCCGGCUCAACUGGGAGAGGUCGUUCAAUACUGCUGGACUAGAGGAUGGUAGAGGAAGGUGGAAUUCCGGGUGUAGUGGUGAAAUGCGCAGAUAUCCGGAGGAACACCAGUGGCGAAAGCGGCCUUCUGGACCAUUCCUGACGCUCAGACGCGAAAGCUAGGGUAGCAAACGGGAUUAGAGACCCCGGUAGUCCUAGCUGUAAACGAUGUGAACUUGGCGUCGGUGGGAUUAAAUCCAUCGGUGUCGUAGCUAACGCGAUAAGUUCACCGCCUGAGGACUACGGCCGCAAGGUUAAAACUCAAAGGAAUUGACGGGGGCCCGCACAAGCGGUGGAGCAUGUGGUUUAAUUCGACGCAACGCGCAGAACCUUUACCCAGGUUUGACAUGCA
RNAcentral lists this ribosomal RNA (950 nucleotides) under uncultured organism. Its description in RNAcentral is "bacterial SSU rRNA". It matches the Rfam family "Bacterial small subunit ribosomal RNA", at positions 37 to 990 of the family's 1533-position model. The record is from RNAcentral.